Molecule: ribosomal RNA, 253 nt
Filed under: uncultured bacterium
Lineage: Bacteria
Description: partial 16S ribosomal RNA
Rfam family: Bacterial small subunit ribosomal RNA
Source: RNAcentral
UACGUAGGGAGCGAGCGUUGUCCGGAUUUACUGGGUGUAAAGGGUGCGUAGGCGGCUAAGCAAGUCAGAUGUGAAAUUUAUGGGCUUAACCCAUAACCUGCAUUUGAAACUGCGUAGCUUGAGUGAAGUAGAGGCAGGCGGAAUUCCCUGUGUAGCGGUGAAAUGCGUAGAGAUAGGGAGGAACACCAGUGGCGAAGGCGGCCUGCUGGGCUUUAACUGACGCUGAGGCACGAAAGCGUGGGUAGCAAACAGG